RNAcentral lists this unclassified non-coding RNA (563 nucleotides) under Hevea brasiliensis (rubber tree). The record is from RNAcentral. Lineage: Eukaryota; Viridiplantae; Streptophyta; Magnoliopsida; Malpighiales; Euphorbiaceae.
AGGUUCAAUUAUAUCAACCUCAUUUAGCCGGCAGAGGAAUCUCAAAGUAACUCCACGAAUGUACUCAUUUGGAUGCUGCAAGUUAUUCCUCAAGUUCUGACAAAUUAGGAUCAUUUCUGGAAGUACACGCCCCUUAGAAUCGGUCUUCUCGAUAAUCUCCAAAUACAAAAGCAGCAGCUUUUGAAUCGUGUGAUCUUCAGAGGGCAAGACAUAUCUAAUAAUAGUAAUGAACAGUUGGGGUAGAGUUUCACCAUUCAACAAAAGCAUGACAGCUUUCUUCAUGGCAUCAACCUUGGCAGUAACGUCGCUCCCUUCAAGAGCUUCCUUGAUCUCAUUGGCAAGAGCUGGAGUGCCCUUAUCAAAGUGUAUCAGCAAAGAACAGGACUUCUCCAUUUUAUUCUAGAUAGCUUACCAGAUUGAAGGCAGAAAUGGUGAGAUCAAAGUGAAGAAUCUUCGGAAGAGAAAUUUGGUAGAGAAAAUUUUUUGGGUUGUGGGAAACGGAGGAGAGAAAAUGAGGAAUUUUAUGAAAAAAGAGAAAAAAAUUGGUCUUCUUCUCAGAUCUG